RNAcentral lists this ribosomal RNA (1243 nucleotides) under metagenome. Its description in RNAcentral is "bacterial LSU rRNA". It matches the Rfam family "Bacterial large subunit ribosomal RNA", at positions 1564 to 2815 of the family's 2925-position model. The record is from RNAcentral.
UGAAUACGAGAUGCUACGGCGUCGAAGCAGUCUAUGUCAUACUUCCAAGAAAAGCUUGCACUGUCAUAAACAAAUAAUGCCUGUACCAUAACCGACACAGGUGGGUAGGUAGAGUAUACUAAGGGGCGCGAGAUAACUCUCUCUAAGGAACUCGGCAAAAUGACUCCGUAACUUCGGGAGAAGGAGUGCCUUAUUUUAUAAGGUUGCAAUAACAAGAUCCAAGCAACUGUUUACCAAAAACACAGGUCUCCGCUAAGUCGUAAGACGAUGUAUGGGGGCUGACGCCUGCCCAGUGCCAGAAGGUUAAAGAAGUUGGUUAGCAUCCGCGAAGCUGAUAACUGAAGCCCUGGUGAACGGCGGCCGUAACGAUAACGGUCCUAAGGUAGCGAAAUUCCUUGUCGGGUAAGUUCCGACCCGCACGAAAGGCGUAAUGAUUUGGAUACUGUCUCAGAGAGGGGCUCGGUGAAAUAGACUUGUCUGUGAAGAUGCGGACUACCUGCACCAGGACAGAAAGACCCUAUGAAGCUUUACUGUAACUUGAAAUUGAAAUUGGACUUUACUUGCGCAGUAUAGGUGGGAGGCGUUGAGAAUAUUCUUGCGGGAAUGUUGGAGCCAUCAGUGAGAUACCACUCUUGUAAUGUUAGAUUUCUAACUUUGUAUCAUUAUCUGGUCAAAGGACAGUUUCAGGCGGGCAGUUUGACUGGGGCGGUCGCCUCCCAAACGGUAACGGAGGCGCACAAAGGUUUCCUCUGAACGGGUAGAAAUCGUAUCUAGAGUGUAAAGGCAUAAGGAAGCUUGACUGUGAGACCUACAAGUCGAGCAGGGACGAAAGUCGGUCUUAGUGAUCUGACGGUGCUGAGUGGAAAGGCCGUCACUCAACGGAUAAAAGUUACUCUAAGGAUAACAGGCUGAUCUCCCCCAAGAGUUCACAUCGACGGGGAGGUUUGGCACCUCGAUGUCGGCUCAUCGCAUCCUGGGGCGGUAGUACGUCCCAAGGGUUGGGCUGUUCGCCCAUGAAAGCAGUACGCGAGCUGGGUUCAGAACGUCGUGAGACAGUUCGGUCCAUAUCCGGUGUAGGCGUUAGAAUAUUGAGAGGAGCCUUCUUUAGUACGAGAGGACCGAGAAGGACAUACCUCUGGUGUACCAGUUAUCGUGCCAACGGUAAACGCUGGGUAGCUAUGUAUGGAGUGGAUAACCGCUGAAAGCAUCUAAGUGGGAAGCCCACCUCAAGAUAAGUAUUCUC